This 72-nucleotide transfer RNA is filed under the name Ornatilinea apprima. It matches the Rfam family "tRNA". Rfam says of the family: Transfer RNA (tRNA) molecules are approximately 80 nucleotides in length. Their secondary structure includes four short double-helical elements and three loops (D, anti-codon, and T loops). Lineage: Bacteria; Bacillati; Chloroflexota; Anaerolineae; Anaerolineales; Anaerolineaceae. The record is from Rfam by way of RNAcentral.
GUGGGCGUAGCUCAACGGCAGAGCGGUGCACUGUGGAUGCACAGGUUGUGGGUUCGAAACCCAUCGCCCACC